GUUGUAUGGUUAAGUGACUAAGCGUACACGGUGGAUGCCUUGGCAAUCAGAGGCGAAGAAGGACGUGCUAAUCUGCGAAAAGCUUGGAUGAGUUGAUAAGAAGCGUUUAAUCCAAGAUAUCCGAAUGGGGAAACCCAGUAGAUGAAGAAUCUACUAUUGUUAACUGAAUACAUAGGUUAACAAGGCAAACCGGGAGAACUGAAACAUCUAAGUACCCCGAGGAAAAGAAAUCAACCGAGAUUCCGUGAGUAGCGGCGAGCGAAAGUGGAAGAGCCAGUGAGUGAUAGCAGUAAAAUUAAGAGAAUGAGCUGGGAAGCUCAACCGUAGGGGGUGAUAGUCCCGUAUCUGAAAAUUUUAUUGUGGUACUAAGCUAACGAGAAGUAGGGCGGGACACGUGAUAUCCUGUUUGAAGAUGGGGGGACCAUCCUCCAAGGCUAAAUACUCCUGAUUGACCGAUAGUGAACCAGUACUGUGAAGGAAAGGCGAAAAGAACCCCAGUGAGGGGAGUGAAAUAGAACCUGAAACCGUGUACGUACAAGCAGUGGGAGCUCCGUCACUUAAUGAUUUUUAAUCAUUAAGUGACUUCGCAGGAGUCAGAUGACAGUGGUCAGAUAGCAGUGGAUAAUAAAACUGCCAUCUGAAACCUGUCAUCUGACACCUGAAACGGAGUCAGUUAAUGGCGAAAGCCAUUAAGUGACGGAGUGACUGCGUACCUUUUGUAUAAUGGGUCAGCGACUUAUAUUUUGUAGCGAGGUUAACUUAAAUCAGGUAGCCGAAGGGAAACCGAGUCUUAACUGGGCGGCUAGUUGCAAGGUAUAGACCCGAAACCCGGUGAUCUAGCCAUGGGCAGGUUGAAGGUUGGGUAACACUAACUGGAGGACCGAACCGACUAAUGUUGAAAAAUUAGCGGAUGACUUGUGGCUGGGGGUGAAAGGCCAAUCAAACCGGGAGAUAGCUGGUUCUCCCCGAAAUCUAUUUAGGUAGAGCCUUAUGUGAAUACCUUGGGGGGUAGAGCACUGUUUCGGCUAGGGGUCCAUCCCGGAUUACCAACCCGAUGCAAACUGCGAAUACCGAAGAGUAAUGCAUAGGAGACACACGGUGGGUGCUAACGUCCAUCGUGAAGAGGGAAACAACCCAGACCGCCAGCUAAGGUCCCAAAGUCUAUAUUAAGUGGGAAACGAAGUGGGAAGGCUUAGACAGCUAGGAUGUUGGCUUAGAAGCAGCCAUCAUUUAAAGAAAGCGUAAUAGCUCACUAGUCGAGUCGGCCUGCGCGGAAGAUGUAACGGGGCUAAAAUAUAGCACCGAAGCUGCGGCUUUCAGGGGUCAGAUUACAGGAGUCAGAUAACAGUAUGGUAAUGAAAUUUGAAGAUUUGCAAGUGUUUCAAAGAAGUUAUAAGAUUUCUUUAGAAUUGCAUAAGGCAAGUUUAGAUUUUCCAAAGCAUGAGCAAUAUGGUUUAGCAGACCAAAUAAGAAGGGCAAGCAAAAGUAUUUGUGCAAAUAUAGCAGAAGGUUUUGCGAGAAAACGCUCACAGGCUGAUUUUAAUCGUUUUAUCGGAAUGGCAAUAGGCAGUGCUGAUGAAAUGAGAGUAUGGUUAAGAUACUGUUUAGACUUAGGUUAUAUAGCGGAGCAACAAUGGCAAAGAUGGCGUAAUGAAUACGAAGAAAUUGCAAAAAUGUUGCAAGGUUUAGGUAAAAGGGUAGAUAAAACUGCCGUCUGAAACCUGUAAUCUGACCCCUGACAGGGUAGGGGAGCGUUGUGUAAGCGGAAGAAGGUGAAUCGAGAGGUUUGCUGGACGUAUCACAAGUGCGAAUGCUGACAUAAGUAACGAUAAAACGAGUGAAAAACUCGUUCGCCGGAAGACCAAGGGUUCCUGUCCAACGUUAAUCGGGGCAGGGUGAGUCGGCCCCUAAGGCGAGGCUGAAAAGCGUAGUCGAUGGGAAACGGGUUAAUAUUCCCGUACUUGGUAAAGCUGCGAUGUGGGGACGGAGUAGGUUAGGCAAGCAGCCUGUUGGAUGGCUGUUUAAGCGUGUAGGUGGAAAGUUUAGGCAAAUCCGGACUUUCUUAACACUAAGGCGUGAUGACGAUUUCCCAAGGGAAAGAAGUUGUUGAUACCACACUUCCAGGAAAAGCCACUAAGCUUCAGGCUUUACUAAACCGUACUGAAAACCGACACAGGUGGUCAGGUAGAGAAUACUCAGGCGCUUGAGAGAACUCGGGUGAAGGAACUAGGCAAAAUAGCACCGUAACUUCGGGAGAAGGUGCGCCGGCGUAGAUUGUAGUGAUUUACUCACGAAGGUUGAACCGGUCGAAGUGACCCGCUGGCUGCAACUGUUUAUUAAAAACACAGCACUCUGCAAACACGAAAGUGGACGUAUAGGGUGUGAUGCCUGCCCGGUGCUGGAAGGUUAAUUGAUGGUGUUACCCCUCACCUAGAUUUAUUUGUAAAAUCUAGGUAAAAAAAGACCGCACUUUAGAGUAAAUCUAGGUGAGGGGGAAGCUCCUGAUCGAAGCCCCAGUAAACGGCGGCCGUAACUAUAACGGUCCUAAGGUAGCGAAAUUCCUUGUCGGGUAAGUUCCGACCUGCACGAAUGGCAUAAUGAUGGCCAGGCUGUCUCCACCCGAGACUCAGUGAAAUUGAAAUCGCCGUGAAGAUGCGGUGUACCCGCGGCUAGACGGAAAGACCCCGUGAACCUUUACUAUAGCUUGACACUGAACCUUGAAUUUUGAUGUGUAGGAUAGGUGGGAGACUAAGAAGCAGGAACGCCAGUUCUUGUGGAGUCGUCCUUGAAAUACCACCCUUUAACGUUUGAUGUUCUAACGAAGUAUGUGAAACGCGUACUCGGACAGUGUCUGGUGGGUAGUUUGACUGGGGCGGUCUCCUCCCAAAGAGUAACGGAGGAGCACGAAGGUUUGCUAAUGACGGUCGGACAUCGUCAGGUUAGUGCAAUGGUAAAAGCAAGCUUAACUGCGAGACAGACAAGUCGAGCAGGUACGAAAGUAGGUCAUAGUGAUCCGGUGGUUCUGAAUGGAAGGGCCAUCGCUCAACGGAUAAAAGGUACUCCGGGGAUAACAGGCUGAUACCGCCCAAGAGUUCAUAUCGACGGCGGUGUUUGGCACCUCGAUGUCGGCUCAUCACAUCCUGGGGCUGAAGUAGGUCCCAAGGGUAUGGCUGUUCGCCAUUUAAAGUGGUACGCGAGCUGGGUUUAGAACGUCGUGAGACAGUUCGGUCCCUAUCUGCCGUGGGCGUAGGAUGAUUGAGUGGGGCUGCUCCUAGUACGAGAGGACCGGAGUGGACGCAUCACUGGUGUACCAGUUGUUUCGCCAGAAGCAUUGCUGGGUAGCUAAAUGCGGAAGAGAUAAGUGCUGAAAGCAUCUAAGCACGAAACUUGCCAUAAGAUGAGUCAUCCCACACUUAAAGUGUGUAAGGGUUGUUUAAGACGAAGACGUAGAUAGGCUGGGUGUGUAAGCGGUGCGAGCCGUUGAGCUAACCAGUACUAAUUGCCCGAGCGGCUUAACCAUACAACCU
This 3527-nucleotide ribosomal RNA is filed under the name Lonepinella koalarum. RNAcentral's name for it is "23S ribosomal RNA". It matches the Rfam family "Bacterial large subunit ribosomal RNA". Lineage: Bacteria; Pseudomonadati; Pseudomonadota; Gammaproteobacteria; Pasteurellales; Pasteurellaceae. The record is from RNAcentral.